AGGGUUUGAUCCUGGCUCAGAUUGAACGCUGGCGGCAGGCCUAACACAUGCAAGUCGAACGGUAACAGAACUAGCUUGCUAGUUGCUGACGAGUGGCGGACGGGUGAGUAAUACUUAGGGAUCUGCCUCUGUGUGGGGGAUAACUAUUGGAAACGAUAGCUAAUACCGCAUAAUGUCUACGGACCAAAGAGGGCUUCGGCUCUCGCGCAGAGAGGAACCUAAGCGAGAUUAGCUAGUUGGUGAGGUAAAGGCUCACCAAGGCGACGAUCUCUAGCUGUUCUGAGAGGAAGAUCAGCCACACUGGAACUGAGACACGGUCCAGACUCCUACGGGAGGCUGCAGUGGGGAAUAUUGCACAAUGGGGGAAACCCUGAUGCAGCCAUGCCGCGUGUGUGAAGAAGGCCUUCGGGUUGUAAAGCACUUUCAGUUGUGAGGAAAGUUUAGUAGUUAAUACCUGCUAGAUGUGACGUUAACAACAGAAGAAGCACCGGCUAACUCCGUGCCAGCAGCCGCGGUAAUACGGAGGUGCGAGCGUUAUCGGAAUUACUGGGCGUAAAGCGCACGCAGGCGGUCUGUUAAGCUAGAUGUGAAAGCCCCGCGCUCAACGUGGGAGGGUCAUUUAGAACUGGCAGACUAGAGUCUUGGAGAGGGGAGUGGAAUUCCAGGUGUAGCGGUGAAAUGCGUAGAGAUCUGAGGAACAUCAAUGGCGAAGGCAACUCCCUGGCCAAAGACUGACGCUCAUGUGCGAAAGUGUGGGUAGCGAACAGGAUUAGAUACCCUGGUAGUCCACACCGUAAACGCUGUCUACUAGCUGUUUGUGGAUAUAAUCCGUGAGUAGCGAAGCUAACGCGAUAAGUAGACCGCCUGGGGAGUACGGCCGCAAGGUUAAAA
Molecule: ribosomal RNA, 891 nt
Filed under: uncultured Gammaproteobacteria bacterium
Lineage: Bacteria; Pseudomonadati; Pseudomonadota; Gammaproteobacteria
Description: bacterial SSU rRNA
Rfam family: Bacterial small subunit ribosomal RNA
Source: RNAcentral